This 971-nucleotide ribosomal RNA is filed under the name uncultured bacterium CA1-115. RNAcentral's name for it is "bacterial SSU rRNA". It matches the Rfam family "Bacterial small subunit ribosomal RNA", at positions 523 to 1482 of the family's 1533-position model. The record is from RNAcentral.
AUGCGUAGGGUACGAACGUUAUCCGGAUUUACUGGGCGUAUAGAGAUGCGUAGGCGGUUUGAUAAGUCUUAAGUUAAAGACCUUGGCUCAACCAAGGGGGAGCUUUCGAAACUAUCAGACUUGAGACAUAGAUGGGUGAACGGAAUUCCGAGUGGAGCGGUAAAAUGUGUUGAUAUUCGGAAGAACAUCAGUGGCGAAAGCGGUUCACUGGCUAUUGUCUGACGCUAAGGCUCGAAAGCGUGGGCAGCAAAACGGAUUAGAUACCCGUGUAGUCCACGCCGUAAACUAUGGAUGCUAGGUGUUUGGUAUGACUACUUUUUAUCUUCGGAUUCUAAGUGGAAGUACUGAGUGCCGCAGCUAACGCGUUAAGCAUCCCGCCUGGGAAGUACGGCCGCAAGGCUAAAACUCAAAUGAAUUGGCGGGGACCCGCACAAGCGGAGUAGCGCGUGGUUUAAUUCGACGGCAAUCGAACAACCUUACCAGGGUUUGACAUGUAUCUGCAUAUCUUUGGAAACAUAGAUAGCCUUCGAGGGUGAUACACAGGUACUGCAUGGCCGUCGUCAGCUCGUGUCGUGAGAUGUAGGGUUAAGUCCCGAAACGAGCGCAACCCCUAUCCCAUGUUAUAAGUGUCUUGGGAGACUGCCUCGGUAAAACGGGGAGGAAGGUGGGGAUGACGUCUGGUCCGCAUAGUCCUUAUGUCCUGGGCUACACACACGCUACAAUGGUCGGUACAAUGGGCAGCCAAGCCGCAAGGCGGAGCUAAUCCUUUAAAGCCGAUCUCAGUUCGGAUUGUGGGCUGAAACUCGCCCGCAUGAAGUUGGAUUCGCUAGUAAUCGUGGAUCAGCCAUGCCACGGUGAAUACGUUCUCGGGUCUUGCACACACCGCCCGUCAAGCCAUGGAAGUAGGUGAUACCCGAAGGUGCCUUGCUGUUUGCAGUGAGGUGACGAAGGUAACGCUUAUAACUGGGGUU